GGGCCGCACGCGCGCUACACUGACGGAGCCAGCGAGUACAACCUUGGCCGAGAGGUCUUGGUAAUCUUGUGAAACUCCGUCGUGCUGGGGAUAGAGCAUUGUAAUUAUUGCUCUUCAACGAGGAAUUCCUAGUAAGCGCAAGUCAUCAGCUUGCGUUGAUUACGUCCC
Molecule: ribosomal RNA, 168 nt
Filed under: Kluyveromyces lactis
Lineage: Eukaryota; Fungi; Ascomycota; Saccharomycetes; Saccharomycetales; Saccharomycetaceae
Description: partial 18S ribosomal RNA
Rfam family: Eukaryotic small subunit ribosomal RNA
Source: RNAcentral